This 253-nucleotide ribosomal RNA is filed under the name uncultured bacterium. Its description in RNAcentral is "partial 16S ribosomal RNA". It matches the Rfam family "Bacterial small subunit ribosomal RNA", at positions 524 to 776 of the family's 1533-position model. The record is from RNAcentral.
UACAGGGGGUGCAAACGUUGCUCGGAACCAUUGGGCGUAAAGCGCACGUAGGCGGUUCGUUAUGUCGGAUGUGAAAGCCCUUGGCUUAACCGAGGAAGUGCAUCCGAAACUGGCGAGCUAGAGUACGAAAGAGGAUCGCGGAAUUCCCGGUGUAGAGGUGAAGUUCGUAGAUAUUGGGAAGAACACCGGCGGCGAAGGCGGCGACCUGGUCCUUGACUGACGCUGAGGCGCGAAAGCGUGGGGAGCAAACAGG